GAUCGAGGGGACGAGGAGCUCCUGCCUCCUCGACGGCCGACCUCCUCCUCGCCCCGCCGCUGCGUCCGGCGCCGCCACGGCCUCUGGAGCCAGGGAAGCCAUGGCCUGAGCUCGGCCUCGAGGUCCCCGCCGCCGUCUCCUGCAGCUUCUGCCCCGCCGCCUCACCGCCCGAGCUCGCCGUCGCACCAACCUCGGCGCCGCGCCGCCGCCGGCUCUGGUCGCCUCCACCUCCGCGCCAUGAGGAACCCGCCACACGCGUCAAGGCGAGGCGCCUCCUGGGCUCCGUCCGUUUCCAGAGCGAGCGCCCGCGAAUACCUAGCUAGCCGCCGCCGUCGUGACCGUUCCAGCCACCGCCAAGGCCACACUUCCUCUUCCACCUCCGCGUACUCCUGGUUGCAGCCCCAGCUCUUCACGGGCAGGGAUCUGCGGCUCGCCGGCGUGGCCCGUGGCAGGGGAGAGAAGGGGGGCAUGAUCGGCGGGGCAGAGUUCUUUCGGAAGGACAGCGUGGUGGGCAACAUGGACGGAUACCUCAACUACCUGUCCCUCGAGUAUGACUUCGUCUCGGACACCAAUCCUGCUUGGGUAUCUUCAUUUUGGAAGCAGGAAUCCUUUCCUCAUAAGAUGGAUGAGCUGUAGGAUUUGAUUCUGUUCAGCUUGAAUUAGUUUUUCAUCAUCAUGUUCUUUGUAUUAGGAAUUCAUGCCUUCCAGCUCUAAUUUUUUCGCAUUGUUGGUGUAUGCUGGGAGUCACAUUAUUAUGCUGCUAGCAAACAGUAGGAUUGGAAGUCUUACUCUGUAGGUUAGUAAUAUCUUUUCCACUAUACCGAGGUUCAGCAAUUUAAUUCGUAUUAAGGUCACACAAGCAGUUUGGUUUUCAGAUUUGUCUUGACAAACAUAUUUGGUUCAGCAAUUUAAUUCAUAUUAAAGUCACACAAGCAGUUUGGUUAUUAGAUUUGUCUUGACAAACAUACUUUGCAGAUUAUCCUCACAUAUGAAAUUGAUUUCUGCAAGUUCCUUUCACUUAUUUAUUUCUUCACUUGGUUAUGAUGUACAGCUAUUCGUUUUCAUGAUAAUUCAUGCGUUUUGUAGUUUUCACUGACAGAAUCUUGUCUUGAAACAAGAUUGGUUCCCAUUGUUACAGUGAAGUAGCUACCAAGCAGCGAGGCCAUCGAGUGACACGAGACCGCGGGACGGCGUGAGAAGAAGCAGGGGGUGUCUGGCGGGAUGGAGAAGACCACAGGGAAGUGUGGCGAUGGAGUGCAAUCCCGAAGAAGAAGAACAUUGCAAAGAAGGACCCUGGCCAAGUGCCACCCAAUUCUCUUUCACCGACCCAUCUAAUGGCCAUCAAUUCAAUUGGUCCAAGCUGUUGUGUUGACCUUCCCAUUGAUCCACUACAUCCUCGCUCAGCUGGUUCUGCUAUGUUUCUUCUCCAUGGCGUUGCUGGUUGCCGGCGUGCCUGACAUCGCGCCUUAUGUGACGUGACAUGAUGCUCCUCUACGUGUUCUUCUCACCCCGGUUUCCAUGAGGAGAGAUGUUGUUCUGUGGUUCUGUAGUUCUACUCCAUAGCAAUGAUGGAGUCGCCUCCAUAUGGAUAUCAAUUAUCUCGGGAUCAUGAGAGCUGUCUACGCAACGGCCAGGGGGCAUAUGCUUCUCCUAGCACUAAGACCUUCAUCCUAUUUGAGCCAGAAUGGCUUUGGUGCCCUCUCUCACUCAUGGUGAGGCCGUGAUGGAGUCGCCUCCAUAUGGAUAGCAAUUAUCUCGGGAUCAUGGUGAGGUUACUAACUCGACCCUUUGUUUGGCUCUGUUCGUGUGGAUCUAUUCAUGUGCAUCUGUAAACUUUAUUUAGGUACAAGUAUUGUUCUAGCGCUUGUGUUUAUUAUUUUUGUAAAAAUAAGAUUUAUUGAUCUCAUUAAAUUGAGGUUUUAUGUUCACAUGAAAUUCUAACUGAAUUUGCUAUUCAGCUGACAAUUCCAACAAUUUUUUGUAUUGUAUUUGCAUGUCGAGAGCUGUCUACGCAACGGCCAGGGGGCAUAUGCUUCUCCUAGCACUAAGACCUUCAUCCUAUUUGAGCCAGAAUGGCUUUGGUGCCCUCUCUCGCUCAUGGUGAGGCCGUGCAUGCUUGCCAUGUUGUGGCUACGAAAUCUCAGACUGAGUCGCUUCGGUCGGGCACUAUUCAGGGGAAUAUUUGUUCAGAAUCUUCAGUCUUGUAAUUUUCUCCUUGAUGACAAUGACCAUGCUGUGCUGGGGGAUUUGGGAUUCCAUCCUUGCUGUUUGGACUUCCGCUGCCAAAUCCAGAUCUUAUCCAAAGACUUGGGACUCCAAAUUACAUGCCCCAGAACAUUGGCGACCAGACAUCAGAGGCCCAAUUAGUUACGAGACUGACUCAUUGGGGUUUCGCUUGGAGCAUUCUUGAGAUGUUCAGUGGCGUUCAGACUUGGUGUGCCAAAUCACCAGAUGAGAUUUAUCAGUCAGUUGUCCUGAAGAAAGAGAAACCGAUGUUCCUAUACAAUUUACCUAUGGAGGUCGCUAAUGUCCUCUCUGGCUGCUAUGAGUAUGAAUUUCGGGAUCACUCCUUGAUGUUAGAUAUCUUACAGUCAUUUGAAAGGUUUCUCUACAUUAGCUUUGUGUAUUCAAAUUUUUUGUUCCUGACAAGAAGUGCAUUGCACAUGCACACUUAUAUGAACAAGCCUUACAUGAUUUGCUCUUUUACUGAUGGACUGAGGAGGUCAGAGAUGUAUAACAGCCAUAUUGAUCCAAAUGACAAGUACGGCAGUGCUAACCUGCUUACCUAGAAUUUUACCACAUCCUAAGACUUGCAAAUCUGUAUAAUAGGAAUGGCUAGCUGUUUUCUGGUCUACAACCGUGACAUCUGGUGGCAUCUCUCACCAUGUCUGCACAUAGUGUUUAGUCAUGAUUCUUGCAUACUGUCGAGACUCGAGAAGGGCGUGACAUUUUUUCCUGAACUGAUUUUUAAUUUUUUUUGCUUACCGGUUGAGCUCGGUUUCAACUCUUACCUGAGUAGUUGAUAGGCAAGCCUGAUGCAGGUGUAUGGAAAUUAUGCAAUUCCAUGAGGUUUGGAGUUGUCCAGUAUACUACUGAGGCCUACAUAUUUUGCUGAUGCAGGUUGGAGGUGACACAUGAACGCUGGCAAUGCAAAAUAGCAGAUAUAAAAUAACUGCAGCUCAGGCCAUGUAGUUCUACAACAACCAAGGAAGAAGUCCGUUUUUUAAGCCGACCUUGGCCAAGCAUUUAAGCUUAUAUGGUUGCUCUCUAUUUUUCAGAGGUGCGUGUACUGAGGACGCCCAUGAUUUAGGGCCAAAAAUCUAGACAAAGUGACAAAACUUUGUACGAGACUUACUUGAAGCCAAGGAGGUCAGGGGAGGAGGACAACAAGGCUGGGGAGCGGAGGCGGAGGCUGACGGGGAAGAGAAUGAUCAAGCAUGUAAAUCUAGAGCACAAGCUCGUGAUUUAUCAAGGGAGUGGCGCUGCCGCCGGAUUAGAAAAUCAUAUCUCACGUUAAGGUGUUUUUGUCUUUUGUUUCUGUACAAAUUUGGUGCAGGCAAGUUUUUGAUGAUAUAUAUAAGAUGACUAGCAUUAUCUUUUUAUUGAGUGCAUGUUCUGGUA
This is a long non-coding RNA of Triticum dicoccoides, 3621 nucleotides long. RefSeq lists it as uncharacterized. NCBI's taxonomy places the organism in Eukaryota, Viridiplantae, Streptophyta, Magnoliopsida, Poales, Poaceae. The transcript is spliced from 6 exons. The record is from RefSeq and is a predicted model, not a curated record.